ACUCCCUGGAACAGGUAUCACCAAACUCUGAUAGGUACGAUUCCGAGUGAGACGCGACCAGUGGGAAAACACGCAGCAGUCAUGACCGAUUGACUUCUCCUGAGGCCUGCUGAUGUUGUUUGUGUGUGCAUGGUUGUUGCAAACAGACCAAGUGCACAGGCGGGAUAGCCUUUGGGCCAUUGCAUAACUCCAUACGGCAAGGAUGCCCUGAGGUUUGGUACAUUGGGGAAACCGAGC
Chiloscyllium plagiosum (whitespotted bambooshark) is the source of this 237-nucleotide non-coding RNA. The record is from RefSeq and is a predicted model, not a curated record. Lineage: Eukaryota; Metazoa; Chordata; Chondrichthyes; Orectolobiformes; Hemiscylliidae.